RNAcentral lists this ribosomal RNA (373 nucleotides) under uncultured organism. RNAcentral's name for it is "partial 16S ribosomal RNA". It matches the Rfam family "Bacterial small subunit ribosomal RNA", at positions 527 to 896 of the family's 1533-position model. The record is from RNAcentral.
GUAGGUGGCAAGCGUUGUCCGGAUUUACUGGGCGUAAAGGGAGCGCAGGUGGCUCAUCAAGUCUGGGGUGAAAUCUCCCGGCUCAACCGGGAGGGGUCUCUGGAUACUGAUGGGCUUGAGGGAAGCAGAGGAAAGCGGAAUUCCCGGUGUAGCGGUGAUAUGCGUAGAUAUCGGGAGGAACACCAGUGGCGAAGGCGGCUUUCUGGGCUUUUCCUGACGCUGAGGCUCGAAAGCGUGGGGAGCGAACCGGAUUAGAUACCCGGGUAGUCCACGCCGUAAACGUUGGACACUAGGUGUGGGGGGUAUUGACCCCCCCUCCGUGCCGCAGCUAACGCAUUAAGUGUCCCGCCUGGGGAGUACGGCCGCAAGGCUA